GAUGAACGCUGGCGGCGUGCCUAAUACAUGCAAGUAGAACGCUGAAGCUUGGUGCUUGCACCGAGCGGAUGAGUUGCGAACGGGUGAGUAACGCGUAGGUAACCUGCCUAGUAGCGGGGGAUAACUAUUGGAAACGAUAGCUAAUACCGCAUAACAGUCGACAUUGCAUGAUGUUGAUUUGAAAGGGGCAAAUGCUCCACUACCAGAUGGACCUGCGUUGUAUUAGCUAGUUGGUGAGGUAACGGCUCACCAAGGCGACGAUACAUAGCCGACCUGAGAGGGUGAUCGGCCACACUGGGACUGAGACACGGCCCAGACUCCUACGGGAGGCAGCAGUAGGGAAUCUUCGGCAAUGGGGGCAACCCUGACCGAGCAACGCCGCGUGAGUGAAGAAGGUUUUCGGAUCGUAAAGCUCUGUUGUAAGAGAAGAACGAGUGUGAGAGUGGAAAGUUCACACUGUGACGGAACUACCAGAAAGGACG
Molecule: ribosomal RNA, 482 nt
Filed under: Streptococcus sp. oral taxon 068
Lineage: Bacteria; Bacillati; Bacillota; Bacilli; Lactobacillales; Streptococcaceae
Description: bacterial SSU rRNA
Rfam family: Bacterial small subunit ribosomal RNA
Source: RNAcentral